UACGUAGGGUGCAAGCGUUAAUCGGAAUUACUGGGCGUAAAGCGUGCGCAGGCGGUUGUGCAAGACAGAUGUGAAAUCCCCGGGCUUAACCUGGGAAUGGCAUUUGUGACUGCACGGCUAGAGUGUGUCAGAGGGGGGUAGAAUUCCACGUGUAGCAGUGAAAUGCGUAGAUAUGUGGAGGAAUACCGAUGGCGAAGGCAGCCCCCUGGGAUAACACUGACGCUCAUGCACGAAAGCUAGGGUAGCAAACGGG
RNAcentral lists this ribosomal RNA (253 nucleotides) under uncultured bacterium. RNAcentral describes it as "partial 16S ribosomal RNA". It matches the Rfam family "Bacterial small subunit ribosomal RNA", at positions 524 to 776 of the family's 1533-position model. The record is from RNAcentral.